AUGCGCAAUAACUCCACCAGGUGGGCAAGUCUUUACAACCUCUUUGCCCGUUCGUUUGCUGGAUGCUGCCGGGCCCAAGCCUGCGUGGUCCUAGUGGCGGCUGCUUUAUUCAGGCGCAGUCCUUAGUGUCUGGGACUAAAGUCCCUUAAGAUGUUGGUAGUGUGGAGCAUGCUAGUGCAAGCUGCAGCUCCACCUGUAUGUAGUAUCCCCGCUGCCUAUAGAGCAGCAAUCUUGGCUCUAAAUCAGCAGGGAUUUAGAAAGAACUCGUCCCCGUGGUGUAAGAAAAUUCAGGCGUACAGAAAGAGUCAGUGUCAUCUAGGAAGGAAGAAUAGUGGAGCGCUUCAGGAACUACAAAAUAGACUGAGGAGACUUCAUGAUUUUAGACUUUUCUGUAUAUCACCUUCACCCUAGAGAUGAGGUCUACAUCAAGAACUUCCAGGGGACGAAAGAACUCUACCUCCUUGGGAAGCUCUGUUCCAAGUGCUGCUGACCACCCCUACCAUGAUCAACAUCAGAGAAAGUUCAUGUGUCAAUUAUUGAUCCAGGUUUCAGAAGCACUACCUUUGAUUCAGCCUUCAUAAUGAAAAGGUAAAAAAAAAAAUGACAAUAAACCAAGGCAGUCACAUUUUAUUUAUUUCAAGUUGAUUUGUUCAUAUAUUAUAGCAAUUAAAAGCAGUCAAAAUUAAUUACAAAGAUCAAGUCAUUCAUUUGGGAAAAAACAAAAUUUA
This is a non-coding RNA of Phascolarctos cinereus (koala), 728 nucleotides long. The record is from RefSeq and is a predicted model, not a curated record. NCBI's taxonomy places the organism in Eukaryota, Metazoa, Chordata, Mammalia, Diprotodontia, Phascolarctidae.